RNAcentral lists this ribosomal RNA (497 nucleotides) under uncultured bacterium. RNAcentral's name for it is "bacterial SSU rRNA". It matches the Rfam family "Bacterial small subunit ribosomal RNA", at positions 29 to 524 of the family's 1533-position model. The record is from RNAcentral.
AACUAACGCUGGCGGCGUGCCUAACACAUGCAAGUCGUACGAGAAAGUUGGCUUCGGCCGAUGAGUAAAGUGGCGCACGGGUGAGUAAUGCGUGGAUAAUCUGCCCUUUAGUUGGGAAUAACGUACCGAAAGGUGCGCUAAUACCUGAUAAUACUGCAUAACUACUGUUGUGUAGUCAAAGAAGGCCUCUGUUUACAAGCUUUUGCUGAAGGAUGAGUCCGCGUACCAUUAGCUGGUUGGUGGGGUAAUGGCCUACCAAGGCUACGAUGGUUAGCUGGUCUGAGAGGAUGAUCAGCCACACUGGAACUGAGACACGGUCCAGACUCCUACGGGAGGCAGCAGUGAGGAAUAUUGCGCAAUGGGGGCAACCCUGACGCAGCAACGCCGCGUGAGCGAAGAAGGCCUUUGGGUCGUAAAGCUCUGUCCUUGGGGAAGAAACAAAUGACGGUACCCUUGGAGGAAGCCCCGGCUAACUACGUGCCAGCAGCCGCGGUAAU